AUCCCAUUGCCGGAUGGUUCCGACGCUACCCAUCGACCUGACUCUCCAACUGGUCGGUGUGACCCUGACUCUAUGCCGGGUCUGAGGAUGCCCCCCGUCGUCAGAUCUCCGAAGCUGUUACGGGCUUUCCCACUAGCUCGCUGCGGCGCACGCCCUACUUCCAGAAGCCUAACAUUUGGCGAAAACAAACCCUUCUUCCGAACAUAGCACUUAUACUCUAACUGCCAUGGUUUGCUUAUUCGGGGCCGAUUGAGGCACGGUCGUCGGCGCCAUUCUGCCUCCCCCGUUCGCAACAAGCCUUAGUAACCCGCAUUUCCCGAGCAUCCGCCUGACCGUUCAGACCGCACUUUAGAGGUGGCGAGUGGCCCCUCUCCAGCGACCUAUGAUGAUCAGAACUCAAGCCAUCUCCUAGCACCUUAAAGCCCACAUCGCCACCUUACGCAUCUAUAGGCUUUCUUGUGGCCACCGCUUCCGCUGCUAGACCCGGACUUGACUGCGACUCCUCGCUUUCGAUCCCCUCGUUUGCCCUAAUCUAUGGGGCCAUCAGGAUCGGCAUUUGCCACCUAUGAUCCACACCCCCCAUAAGCUGGGGAGGGCACGGCAUCAAUUGUGUAAUUCAUAGGGCG
This 626-nucleotide ribosomal RNA is filed under the name uncultured bacterium. Its description in RNAcentral is "partial 16S ribosomal RNA". The record is from RNAcentral.